GCGGUUGUGGCUCAAUGGUAGAGUGCUUGCCUAGCAUGCAUAAGGCACUGGGUUCGAUCCUCAGCACCACA
Non-coding RNA from Ictidomys tridecemlineatus (thirteen-lined ground squirrel), 71 nucleotides. Lineage: Eukaryota; Metazoa; Chordata; Mammalia; Rodentia; Sciuridae. The record is from Rfam.